AGGAGCUUGCUCCUUUGACGUUAGCGGCGGACGGGUGAGUAACACGUGGGUAACCUACCUAUAAGACUGGGAUAACUUCGGGAAACCGGAGCUAAUACCGGAUAAUAUUUCGAACCGCAUGGUUCGAUAGUGAAAGAUGGUUUUGCUAUCACUUAUAGAUGGACCCGCGCCGUAUUAGCUAGUUGGUAAGGUAACAGCUUACCAAGGCGACGAUACGUAGCCGACCUGAGAGGGUGAUCGGCCACACUGGAACUGAGACACGGUCCAGACUCCUACGGGAGGCAGCAGUAGGGAAUCUUCCGCAAUGGGCGAAAGCCUGACGGAGCAACGCCGCGUGAGUGAUGAAGGUCUUCGGAUCGUAAAACUCUGUUAUUAGGGAAGAACAUACGUGUAAGUAACUGUGCACGUCUUGACGGUACCUAAUCAGAAAGCCACGGCUAACUACGUGCCAGCAGCCGCGGUAAUACGUAGGUGGCAAGCGUUAUCCGGAAUUAUUGGGCGUAAAGCGCGCGUAGGCGGUUUUUUAAGUCUGAUGUGAAAGCCCACGGCUCAACCGUGGAGGGUCAUUGGAAACUGGAAAACUUGAGUGCAGAAGAGGAAAGUGGAAUUCCAUGUGUAGCGGUGAAAUGCGCAGAGAUAUGGAGGAACACCAGUGGCGAAGGCGACUUUCUGGUCUGUAACUGACGCUGAUGUGCGAAAGCGUGGGGAUCAAACAGGAUUAGAUACCCUGGUAGUCCACGCCGUAAACGAUGAGUGCUAAGUGUUAGGGGGUUUCCGCCCCUUAGUGCUGCAGCUAACGCAUUAAGCACUCCGCCUGGGGAGUACGACCGCAAGGUUGAAACUCAAAGGAAUUGACGGGGACCCGCACAAGCGGUGGAGCAUGUGGUUUAAUUCGAAGCAACGCGAAGAACCUUACCAAAUCUUGACAUCCUUUGACAACUCUAGAGAUAGAGCCUUCCCCUUCGGGGGACAAAGUGACAGGUGGUGCAUGGUUGUCGUCAGCUCGUGUCGUGAGAUGUUGGGUUAAGUCCCGCAACGAGCGCAACCCUUAAGCUUAGUUGCCAUCAUUAAGUUGGGCACUCUAAGUUGACUGCCGGUGACAAACCGGAGGAAGGUGGGGAUGACGUCAAAUCAUCAUGCCCCUUAUGAUUUGGGCUACACACGUGCUACAAUGGACAAUACAAAGGGCAGCGAAACCGCGAGGUCAAGCAAAUCCCAUAAAGUUGUUCUCAGUUCGGAUUGUAGUCUGCAACUCGACUACAUGAAGCUGGAAUCGCUAGUAAUCGUAGAUCAGCAUGCUACGGUGAAUACGUUCCCGGGUCUUGUACACACCGCCCGUCACACCACGAGAGUUUGUAACACCCGAAGCCGGUGGAGUAACCAUUGGAGCUAG
This 1393-nucleotide ribosomal RNA is filed under the name Staphylococcus haemolyticus. RNAcentral describes it as "bacterial SSU rRNA". It matches the Rfam family "Bacterial small subunit ribosomal RNA", at positions 74 to 1452 of the family's 1533-position model. Lineage: Bacteria; Bacillati; Bacillota; Bacilli; Caryophanales; Staphylococcaceae. The record is from RNAcentral.